AUGGCAGAAUGCUUCAAUAAGGUGCUCAAGGGUGUACGUGCAUUACCCGUGACGGCAAUAGUUCAAUACACAUUUGACAAGAUGAAUGGAUACUUUUUAAAGUACUCAAUGGAGACGGAUAAGCAGAUUGCUGGUGAGAACAAGGAUAAGCACAAGUACUAUUUCCCACCAAAGGUUGAAGAAUGGUUGGAGUUUCAAUCACGAAAGGCAGACUCCCAAGAAGUUGUACUAUAUGACGACAACGAGUGGAAGUAUGAGGUGAAAGAGCCUGGAGGAACCACAAACGAUGGCCACCAACACGGAGGCCGCGCUUUCAAGGUCUCCCUAACACGGUGUGAUUGCAGCUGCAUGAGGCUAUCGUUGCUUCAUCUCCCAUGCUCACACUUGUUAAACGCAUCCCGUGUUAGGAAUGUGGACGUCAAUCACCCUCUUACCAUGAGGGAGUCCGAGUUCUCAAUCAUGACGGUAAAGAAUACAUGGGCUCCCCGGUUUCAGCCAUACUUGGACCAAUCACAAUGACCGGAGUAUCAUGGAGUUCAACUAUGGCCGGACCCGGAAUUGAAGGUCGUUAGACGGGGAAGACGUAAGACAAAGCGUCUUAGAGGUGACAUGGACGGAUGGGGCCGUGGUGGCAGUGGAGAAUACGGCACCGGUCAAUUCCAAGAGCCCCGUGAGCAAUCCCGUUGUGGGGACUGCAGUCAUCGGGGACACAACAAAAGAACUUGUCCCAAACCAAGAAAAAGAUCAAAGAAAAAUGAUGCAAGCACAAGCCAAGCAAAUGAUAGCCAACCAAGGAGUAGCCAACCAAGUCAAACAAGCCAACGAGAAACUAGGCAACAAAGAGGGAGUCAACUAGGUCUUAGAAGAGGCCGUGGUGAUGGUCUUGGCCGUGGUGGUGGUAAAGGUCGUGCUGGUGGUAGAGGCCGUGGUGAUGGUCUUGGCCGUGGUGAUGGUGUUGGGGAACGUAGUAAUUUCAAAAAAAUUCCUACGCACAUGCAAGAUCAUGGUGAUGCAUAG
Molecule: ribosomal RNA, 1017 nt
Filed under: Triticum aestivum (bread wheat)
Lineage: Eukaryota; Viridiplantae; Streptophyta; Magnoliopsida; Poales; Poaceae
Description: partial small subunit ribosomal RNA
Source: RNAcentral